CCGAGUUUACACUCAUAACCCUUUGUGAACAUUAUAACUUGUUGCUUCGGCGGCUUCUUCUUCGGGAGCCCGCCGGCGUUUCAGUAUCUCUGUUUGUACCCGACGAUACAUCUGAGUGUUCUUAGCGAACUAUAA
This 135-nucleotide unclassified non-coding RNA is filed under the name soil metagenome. RNAcentral's name for it is "partial internal transcribed spacer 1". The record is from RNAcentral.